GAUGAACGCUAGCGGGAGGCUUAAUACAUGCAAGUCGAACGGCAACAUGAUGAUAGCAAUAUUAUUGAUGGCGAGUGGCGCACGGGUGAGUAACACGUACAUGACCUACCUCUAAGAUCGGGAUAGCCCUGGGAAACUGGGAUUAAUACCGGAUGUGAUAAUAAGUAUAAGGAUUUAUUAUUAAAGUUGAGGCGCUUAGAGAUGGGUGUGCGUCUGAUUAGCUAGUUGGUAGGGUAAGGGCCUACCAAGGCGACGAUCAGUAGGGGGCGUGAGAGCGUGAUCCCCCACACGGGUACUGAGACACGGACCCGACUCCUACGGGAGGCAGCAGUAGGGAAUAUUGGUCAAUGGACGGAAGUCUGAACCAGCCAUUCCGCGUGCAGGAAGAAGGUCCUAUGGACUGUAAACUGCUUUUAGCAGAGAAGAAACGCCUUCAUUUAUGAGGGUCUGACGGUAUCUGCGGAAUAAGCACCGGCUAACUCCGUGCC
RNAcentral lists this ribosomal RNA (488 nucleotides) under uncultured bacterium. Its description in RNAcentral is "bacterial SSU rRNA". It matches the Rfam family "Bacterial small subunit ribosomal RNA", at positions 28 to 509 of the family's 1533-position model. The record is from RNAcentral.